CUCCUAUCUAUGUGACGAAAAAGCGUUGAAUGAGAUCAUAAUGAUGGCGUAUUGGUAGCAUAGCGUCUGUAUUCCAAUCUAAUGCAGUUUAUAUACAAACAAAAAUAGGUACUAUCGGAUUUGACAGCGGCCGUUAGCGGAACACGCGUACAGCCGCUAUGCGAAACUCGGUAGAAUGCAGCGGAAUAAUUACCUCGGCUGUAUCCGUCAAAAACCGAUCGUAGUCGAGUGACAACACCAUUUCCGGAAAAACACUGUACGACAAAAUGGCGGACGAAACCAAACAAGUGACAAGGUUCGUGAGUGGUUCCAGGCGUGUGAUGACCCAGGGAUAUCAGCUAUUGACGGAUGCAGGAUGAUACAUAAAGGUAUAUAGGUUCAAGAAAUUCCUUCUGUCACUGGCUGAUUUUUCCACCUUCCCUCCAGUGGGUUUACAUGUCAACACGUCCAAGAUCUGUGGGGAGAGCAUUGUAACACAAGAUCCAACCAGGUAA
Long non-coding RNA from Haliotis rubra (blacklip abalone), 494 nucleotides. RefSeq lists it as uncharacterized. The record is from RefSeq and is a predicted model, not a curated record. The transcript has 3 exons. NCBI's taxonomy places the organism in Eukaryota, Metazoa, Mollusca, Gastropoda, Lepetellida, Haliotidae.